RNAcentral lists this ribosomal RNA (449 nucleotides) under uncultured prokaryote. RNAcentral describes it as "bacterial SSU rRNA". It matches the Rfam family "Bacterial small subunit ribosomal RNA", at positions 355 to 796 of the family's 1533-position model. The record is from RNAcentral.
CUAAGAAUCUUCCGCAAUGGACGCAAGUCUGACGGAGCGACGCCGCGUGGGCGAGGAAGGCCGAAAGGUUGUAAAGCCCUUUUCUGCGUGAGGAAUAAGCUUAGGAGGGAAUGCCUGAGUGAUGACGGUAGCGCAGGAAUAAGCCCCGGCCAAUUACGUGCCAGCAGCCGCGGUAACACGUAUGGGGCGAGCGUUGUUCGGAAUUAUUGGGCGUAAAGGGCGCGCAGGCGGUCAUGCAAGCUUGGUGUGAAAGACCACGGCUCAACGGUGGAAACGCGCUGAGAACUGCAUGACUUGAGUUUUAGAGGGGGAACUGGAAUUCCUGGUGUAGGGGUGAAAUCUGUAGAUAUCAGGAAGAACAUCAGUGGCGAAGGCGAGUUCCUGGCUAUGAACUGACGCUGAGGCGCGAAAGCGUGGGGAGCGAACAGGAUUAGAUACCCCCGUAGUCC